RNAcentral lists this ribosomal RNA (596 nucleotides) under uncultured bacterium. RNAcentral's name for it is "bacterial SSU rRNA". It matches the Rfam family "Bacterial small subunit ribosomal RNA", at positions 338 to 856 of the family's 1533-position model. The record is from RNAcentral.
CCUACGGGAGGCAGCAGUAAGGAAUAUUGGACAAUGCUCGCAAGAGUGAUCCAGCCAUGCCGCGUGCAGGAAGAAUGCCCUAUGGGUAGUAAACUGCUUUUGAACUAGAGAAAACCCCAGUACGUGUACUGGGCUGAUAGUAUAGUUAGAAUAAGCAUCGGCUAACUUCGUGCCAGCAGCCGCGGUAAGACGAAGGAUGCAAGCGUUAUCCGGAUUCAUUGGGUUUAAACGGGAGCGUAGGUGGACUUAUAAGUCAGUGGUGAAAUCUCCGAGCUUAACUCGGAAAUUGCCAUUGAUACUGUAGGUCUUGAGUACAGUUGCUGUGGGCGGAAUAUGACAUGUAGUGGUGAAAUACAUAGAGAUGUCAUAGAACACCGAUUGCGAAGGCAGCUCACAAAGCUGUAACUGACACUGAGGCUCGAAAGUGCGGGGAUCAAACAGGAUUAGAUACCCUGGUAGUCCGCACCGUAACGAUGAUUACUCGCUGCUAGGGGGCAACCGUUAGUGGCUUAGNGAGAGANAGANACACGNGGAGACGCGCGACGAGAGACANAGAGUUAGAGNGNGAGAGNGCGACGGCGACGACGAGGGAGAGG